UACGGAGGGUGCAAGCGUUAUCCGGAAUCGCUGGGCGUAAAGCGUCUGUAGGUGGUCAAAUAAGUCAACUGUUAAAUCUUGAGGCUCAACCUCAAAAUCGCAGUCGAAACUAUUAGGCUAGAGUAUAGGAGGGGUAAAGGGAAUUUCCAGUGGAGCGGUGAAAUGCGUAGAGAUUGGAAAGAACACCGAUGGCGAAGGCACUUUACUGGGCUAUUACUAACACUGAGAGGCGAAAGCUUGGGUAGCAAAUGGG
RNAcentral lists this ribosomal RNA (253 nucleotides) under uncultured bacterium. RNAcentral describes it as "partial 16S ribosomal RNA". It matches the Rfam family "Bacterial small subunit ribosomal RNA", at positions 524 to 776 of the family's 1533-position model. The record is from RNAcentral.